AUAUAUAUUCAAAACAUCUUAUCUUAUUAUAUAAAAUAUGGUUUUCAAAGUUACUAAUUCAUAGGAUCGUGUCACGUGUCAAGUCAAACGAUCAAAUGUUUCUUAUUAUAUAAAGUAUGGUUUUCAAAGUUACUAUUCAUAGGACCGUGCCACGUGUCAAGUCAAACGAUCAAAUGUUUACAUAUGUCACUAAAAAUUUAAAUUUUUUAUUCUCUUAAAAAAAUAGAAAAUCUAAAAAAGUAAACAAAUUUACAUAUACUAAUUUAUAUGUCUCGAUAUAUAUAUAAAUUUUACUUUUAUUCAACAAAAGGAAAAUUAACAAAUUUGUUUUUACAUGUGUUAUUGGUCAUUUAAAUGUAGCACAUAUUAAU
This 371-nucleotide small RNA is filed under the name Arabidopsis thaliana (thale cress). Its description in RNAcentral is "ATSL046170". Lineage: Eukaryota; Viridiplantae; Streptophyta; Magnoliopsida; Brassicales; Brassicaceae. The record is from RNAcentral.